RNAcentral lists this ribosomal RNA (376 nucleotides) under uncultured bacterium. RNAcentral's name for it is "bacterial SSU rRNA". It matches the Rfam family "Bacterial small subunit ribosomal RNA", at positions 524 to 898 of the family's 1533-position model. The record is from RNAcentral.
UACGUAGGUGGCGAGCGUUACUCGGAAUUACUAGGCGUAAAGCGCGUGUAGGCGGGAGCUUAAGUCUGCUGUUAAAUCUAAGGGCCCAACCCUUAAAUGCCGGCGGAUACUGGGUUUCUUGAAUUCGGUAGAGGUAACUGGAAUUCCAUGUGUAGCGGUGAAAUGCGUAGAUAUAUGGAAGAACGCCAAAGGCGAAAGCAGGUUACUGGGCCGCAAUUGACGCUGAGACGCGAAAGCUAGGGGAGCAAACAGGAUUAGAUACCCUGGUAGUCCUAGCCGUAAACGAUGUAGACCAGGUGUGGGAGGUAUCGACCCCUCCCGUGCCGACGCUAACGCAUUAAGUCUACCGCCUGGGGAGUACGGCCGCAAGGCUAAA